Molecule: ribosomal RNA, 742 nt
Filed under: Salmonella enterica subsp. enterica serovar Infantis
Lineage: Bacteria; Pseudomonadati; Pseudomonadota; Gammaproteobacteria; Enterobacterales; Enterobacteriaceae
Description: partial 23S ribosomal RNA
Rfam family: Bacterial large subunit ribosomal RNA
Source: RNAcentral
CUUGACACUGAACAUUGAGCCUUGAUGUGUAGGAUAGGUGGGAGGCUUUGAAGCGUGGACGCCAGUCUGCGUGGAGCCGACCUUGAAAUACCACCCUUUAAUGUUUGAUGUUCUAACGUGGACCCGUAAUCCGGGUUGCGGACAGUGUCUGGUGGGUAGUUUGACUGGGGCGGUCUCCUCCUAAAGAGUAACGGAGGAGCACGAAGGUUGGCUAAUCCUGGUCGGACAUCAGGAGGUUAGUGCAAUGGCAUAAGCCAGCUUGACUGCGAGCGUGACGGCGCGAGCAGGUGCGAAAGCAGGUCAUAGUGAUCCGGUGGUUCUGAAUGGAAGGGCCAUCGCUCAACGGAUAAAAGGUACUCCGGGGAUAACAGGCUGAUACCGCCCAAGAGUUCAUAUCGACGGCGGUGUUUGGCACCUCGAUGUCGGCUCAUCACAUCCUGGGGCUGAAGUAGGUCCCAAGGGUAUGGCUGUUCGCCAUUUAAAGUGGUACGCGAGCUGGGUUUAGAACGUCGUGAGACAGUUCGGUCCCUAUCUGCCGUGGGCGCUGGAGAACUGAGGGGGGCUGCUCCUAGUACGAGAGGACCGGAGUGGACGCAUCACUGGUGUUCGGGUUGUCAUGCCAAUGGCACUGCCCGGUAGCUAAAUGCGGAAGAGAUAAGUGCUGAAAGCAUCUAAGCACGAAACUUGCCCCGAGAUGAGUUCUCCCUGAGACUUAGAGUCUCCUGAAGGAACGUUGAAGACG